GGGCACGUGGCUCAAUGGUAGAGCGUUCGACUUCAUUAUUAAAUGUCGCGGGUUCGAAUCCCACGGGGUCCA
RNAcentral lists this transfer RNA (72 nucleotides) under Schistocephalus solidus. It matches the Rfam family "tRNA". From Rfam's summary of the family: Transfer RNA (tRNA) molecules are approximately 80 nucleotides in length. Their secondary structure includes four short double-helical elements and three loops (D, anti-codon, and T loops). Further hydrogen bonds mediate the characteristic L-shaped molecular structure. tRNAs have two regions of fundamental functional importance: the anti-codon, which is responsible for specific mRNA codon recognition, and the 3' end, to which the tRNAs corresponding amino acid is attached (by aminoacyl-tRNA synthetases). tRNAs cope with the degeneracy of the genetic code in two manners: having more than one tRNA (with a specific anti-codon) for a particular amino acid; and 'wobble' base-pairing, i.e. permitting non-standard base-pairing at the 3rd anti-codon position. Lineage: Eukaryota; Metazoa; Platyhelminthes; Cestoda; Diphyllobothriidea; Diphyllobothriidae. The record is from Rfam by way of RNAcentral.